AACGAACGCUGGCGGCAGGCUUAACACAUGCAAGUCGAACGCCCCGCGAGGGGAGUGGCAGACGGGUGAGUAACGCGUGGGAAUCUACCGUGCCCUGCGGAAUAGCUCCGGGAAACUGGAAUUAAUACCGCAUACGCCCUACGGGGAAAGAUUUAUCGGGUACGAUGAGCCCGCGUUGGAUUAGCUAGUUGGUGGGGUAA
This 200-nucleotide ribosomal RNA is filed under the name uncultured bacterium. RNAcentral's name for it is "partial 16S ribosomal RNA". It matches the Rfam family "Bacterial small subunit ribosomal RNA", at positions 29 to 260 of the family's 1533-position model. The record is from RNAcentral.